This is a long non-coding RNA of Rosa chinensis, 934 nucleotides long. RefSeq lists it as uncharacterized. The transcript is spliced from 5 exons. Lineage: Eukaryota; Viridiplantae; Streptophyta; Magnoliopsida; Rosales; Rosaceae. The record is from RefSeq and is a predicted model, not a curated record.
AGCACAAAAUUGAUUAUCCAAGCGUCUCUUGCUCUCUCCCAAGUCUCAAACCUUGAAACCUAGCAAAUUUUUUAUUUAAAUUGGUUUCAAUGGUUACUCGAUUCUUUAGUUCCUUCUCAUCCAUCACCCAAUCUUUCUCCUCUUUAUGUUUCUGUUAUUCUACGGUGAUCAUAUGAAUUUUUCAGCUUUCCAUCAAUGUAGGAUGAGGUACAAAUCAAAAUAGGUGCUAUUGGAAGUUGGAGUUGCAAGUCAAUCUCGAUCAAAAAAGAAAGAACAAGAAGGAAAAAAGCAAAUUCCAAAUUUCCAGUUGGAUUUGCAAGUCAAUCUCGAUCAGAAAAGAAAAAACAAGAAGGAAAAAAGUUGUUCGCCAACUUUCAGUUUGAAGCUUGAGUAAAAUAUCAUAUUUGGCUCGGGACUACAAUGCUAUUUUGUGCUACUUUUCAUGUUGUAAGCACCCUGUUCAUUUGGGGGGUCAGCCACCAUAUUCAAGAUGAGAAUACUGGACGAAUAUAUCUAUAUGGCUUCCUUGUUUAAGCAUAUAAUUCAUAGAGGACGACCACGAAACAUGCUGAACUCUUGCCAUGCUCGAUGGCAGUGGAGUUUAUUCUUCAAUAGGAAUUCAGACCGAAGGUGCUGGAAACUAACGCUUUGGUGGUGCAGCGUCAAUUGACCUCCCAUGAGGGAAGGAAUACAUCGACUCUUGGUCGGUUGUAUGAGGAAUUGGUCGAAAUCUUGGCUGCCAGAUAUUUCCGUUUCCUAUAAGGGUCGGAAUGGCAAUAGGGUGGCUCAUAUUCUUGCUGCUCAUGCAUGUAGUGAAUCUCAGGAUUAUUUCUUUUUUUCUACACCUUCUUUUCUUCAAGCUGCUAUUGCAACAGAUGUUCGUUUGAUGUAAUCUUCACUUGUCUUUUAAUAAAGGGCCGACAUCCAAUCUUUA